GACGAACGCUGGCGGCGUGCUUAACACAUGCAAGUCGAACGGAAAGGCCCUGCUUGCAGGGUACUCGAGUGGCGAACGGGUGAGUAACACGUGGGUGAUCUGCCCUGCACUUCGGGAUAAGCCUGGGAAACUGGGUCUAAUACCGGAUAGGAGCCAUUUUUAGUGUGAUGGUUGGAAAGUUUUUUCGGUGUAGGAUGAGCUCGCGGCCUAUCAGCUUGUUGGUGGGGUAAUGGCCUACCAAGGCGGCGACGGGUAGCCGGCCUGAGAGGGUGGACGGCCACAUUGGGACUGAGAUGCGGCCCAGAUGCGUACGGGAGGCAGCAGGGGGGAAGAUUGCACAAUGGGCGCAGGCCUGAUGCAGCGACGCCGCGUGGGGGAUGACGGCCUUCGGGUUGUAAACUCCUUUCGCUAGGGACGAAGCUUUUUGUGACGGUACCUAGAUAAGAAGCACCGGCUAACUACGUG
RNAcentral lists this ribosomal RNA (465 nucleotides) under uncultured bacterium. Its description in RNAcentral is "partial 16S ribosomal RNA". It matches the Rfam family "Bacterial small subunit ribosomal RNA", at positions 28 to 507 of the family's 1533-position model. The record is from RNAcentral.